CAUAAAAGAAAAUCAAAACAUCAAUAUGAAAAUAUUCAUUCAAUUUACUAAUAUAAACGCUUUAGAGUCGCUUAUGUGAUAUGGUAAUAUUUGAACCAUAAUCAAAAUUAGAAGACUUAACAUCUUUCCCGCAUGAUGUGAUAGUAAAUUGAAAUAUAGCCAUCAUUUUGAUAUUCUUGAUAUAUACUAAGUACAAUUUUCCAUAACUUUAGAUCUUCAAGCUUCCUAAAUGGGAGAUACUAAGCAACAACAAACCAAAUUUACAACCUCUACAAGAGGGGACAAAAUUUUUCGUAAUUAAGAGAGAGAAACUCUCAUCAAAAGAGACUAAUUCAUGACACAAAGUAAGAAAACGAACUAACUACAAAUUAUAAGAGAGAAAAACAUACAACUAUUGACUACUCUACACUAAAUAAUAGGUGCAUACUAUUACCAAUGAUUUAUUCAAUUGAAAAUUUAAAUUAGUAUUACAUAUAUAUUGUCAAUCAGGUUAGUCAUAUUAGAUUAAUAUAUGUUAUUUUCAAUUUAGGUCGCUUUAAAAUCAAGUCAAACGUCGCUUGUUCAAAACUCAAAGUCCAAGUGAGACUCUGAGAAUUAGGCAAAACAUGUACUACCUUCAUUUCAUAUUACAUGCAACAUUUCUCGUCAACUUUCUCCUCUUUGAACCCAUCGUUUGCCUUUUUUCUAUUUUUUGUUAUAUCUUCCGUUUACUUUCUCUUUUUUUUUUCUUUUUACCCAUGUCAUCCCCUUUUUAAAUUUCGGCUUUGUUCUUUUGGACUGAAUUAAUGAAAAUUCAGUUCAUUUUAGGAAAGUUAAGUUUAGUUCAGUUGGCUUCCUAUUACAAUUUUCAUUCAAUUCAUUCACUUCAGUCGAGACAAGUUAAUUCGAGUUCAAUUCAGUUUGAACAAAUUCAGUUCACGUAAAUUCAGUCCAAAAGAACCGAGACUGAUGUAGGCCCACUACUUAGCAGUCUCGUCCUAUUGGCCGAAAAAGAUUUUGAAGCUUGGCGCCAAAGGAAAUGGCCUCCGUCCUUCGGCCAUAGCUGCUAGCGGCCAUUGAUUCCCUCUUAAACCUCAAUUUUACUCAUUCAGAAGCUUAAUUAUGAAGACGUUGGCAGCUACUAUCCUUGCAGAUUCAGGUAUAUAUGCUUGCCUAGUCAGUUACCAUUCAAUAGAGAUGGACAAGCUGACCUGAGAAGUGCAGCCAUGAGGAAAGUGAGAGCUGGAACAGAAUUCUGAACAGCGGACGCAAAGGUGGGAGACGUGUUGUCCAAACCCAGCAAGUAGAAUCCUU
Long non-coding RNA from Beta vulgaris subsp. vulgaris (sugar beet), 1293 nucleotides. RefSeq lists it as uncharacterized. The record is from RefSeq and is a predicted model, not a curated record. NCBI's taxonomy places the organism in Eukaryota, Viridiplantae, Streptophyta, Magnoliopsida, Caryophyllales, Amaranthaceae. The transcript is spliced from 3 exons.